AGUGCGAAUGCUGACAUAAGUAACGAUAAAGCGGGUGAAAAGCCCGCUCGCCGGAAGACCAAGGGUUCCUGUCCAACGUUAAUCGGGGCAGGGUGAGUCGACCCCUAAGGCGAGGCCGAAAGGCGUAGUCGAUGGGAAACAGGUUAAUAUUCCUGUACUUGGUGUUACUGCGAAGGGGGGACGGAGAAGGCUAUGUUGGCCGGGCGACGGUUGUCCCGGUUUAAGCGUGUAGGCUGGUUUUCCAGGCAAAUCCGGAAAAUCAAGGCUGAGGCGUGAUGACGAGGCACUACGGUGCUGAAGCAACAAAUGCCCUGCUUCCAGGAAAAGCCUCUAAGCAUCAGGUAACAUCAAAUCGUACCCCAAACCGACACAGGUGGUCAGGUAGAGAAUACCAAGGCGCUUGAGAGAACUCGGGUGAAGGAACUAGGCAAAAUGGUGCCGUAACUUCGGGAGAAGGCACGCUGAUAUGUAGGUGAAGCGACUUGCUCGUGGAGCUGAAAUCAGUCGAAGAUACCAGCUGGCUGCAACUGUUUAUUAAAAACACAGCACUGUGCAAACACGAAAGUGGACGUAUACGGUGUGACGCCUGCCCGGUGCCGGAAGGUUAAUUGAUGGGGUUAGCGCAAGCGAAGCUCUUGAUCGAAGCCCCGGUAAACGGCGGCCGUAACAAUAACGGUCCUAAGGUAGCGAAAUUCCUUGUCGGGUAAGUUCCGACCUGCACGAAUGGCGUAAUGAUGGCCAGGCUGUCUCCACCCGAGACUCAGUGAAAUUGAACUCGCUGUGAAGAUGCAGUGUACCCGCGGCAAGACGGAAAGACCCCGUGAACCUUUACUAUAGCUUGACACUGAACAUUGAGCCUUGAUGUGUAGGAUAGGUGGGAGGCUUUGAAGUGUGGACGCCAGUCUGCAUGGAGCCGACCUUGAAAUACCACCCUUUAAUGUUUGAUGUUCUAACGUUGACCCGUAAUCCGGGUUGCGGACAGUGUCUGGUGGGUAGUUUGACUGGGGCGGUCUCCUCCUAAAGAGUAACGGAGGAGCACGAAGGUUGGCUAAUCCUGGUCGGACAUCAGGAGGUUAGUGCAAUGGCAUAAGCCAGCUUGACUGCGAGCGUGACGGCGCGAGCAGGUGCGAAAGCAGGU
This 1138-nucleotide ribosomal RNA is filed under the name Craterilacuibacter sinensis. RNAcentral describes it as "Neisseriaceae bacterium B2N2-7 partial 23S ribosomal RNA". It matches the Rfam family "Bacterial large subunit ribosomal RNA", at positions 1287 to 2410 of the family's 2925-position model. Lineage: Bacteria; Pseudomonadati; Pseudomonadota; Betaproteobacteria; Neisseriales; Neisseriaceae. The record is from RNAcentral.